AGAUCAAAGGUACUUAUUAGAAGUGGUUAAAUGAUCGUAUCAUCAUGUGGUGUUAUUGAGAGCAUCGAAGAAUAUGAAUUUAGUUGUAAAUUCGAUGAUGCUCAAGUGGGAGGAAUCCUUCAAAUAUUGAAGAAGUUCUUUUGCAUCUCUGAAGAUAUAUCUUCAGUGGGACAAUAAUCCUUUGAGAAAGAAAAAGAAGGUACAAGACAGUCGUGCUUGGGCUGAUAAGCCCAAACUGACAAAAAAGUAUAAGGUUAACCUAGUCUGGCAGAAUCUCUUGAUCCGAAUAGGCUAAGAAAGAGAAAUCAGUAAAGGAUUGUUGGACAAGGUACUUAUAUGAUAACACCUUAUGAUUUUUCUAUCAUGACACUACUACGGGGUAUUGGAUAUCGAAAGUUCAUGCAAAUUGUUGCAACAACUUCAGAUUAGUAGAAAGAUUGAAAACAGCAAG
RNAcentral lists this long non-coding RNA (451 nucleotides) under Elaeis guineensis (African oil palm). RNAcentral's name for it is "long non-coding RNA (EGUI_LNC037065)". The record is from RNAcentral. Lineage: Eukaryota; Viridiplantae; Streptophyta; Magnoliopsida; Arecales; Arecaceae.